AUUGCACGCUGGCGGCAUGCCUUACACAUGCAAGUCGAACGGCAGCACGGGUGCUUGCACCUGGUGGCGAGUGGCGAACGGGUGAGUAGUACAUCGGAACGUACCUUAUCGUGGGGGAUAACGCAGCGAAAGCUGUGCUAAUACCGCAUACGCCCUGAGGGGGAAAGCGGGGGAUCGCAAGACCUCGCGCGAUUAGAGCGGCCGAUGCCUGAUUAGCUUGUUGGUGGGGUAAAAGCCCACCAAGGCGACGAUCAGUAGCUGGUCUGAGAGGACGAUCAGCCACACUGGGACUGAGACACGGCCCAGACUCCUACGGGAGGCAGCAGUGGGGAAUUUUGGACAAUGGGGGCAACCCUGAUCCAGCAAUGCCGCGUGAGUGAAGAAGGCCUUCGGGUUGUAAAGCUCUUUCGUCAGGGAAGAAACACCGGCUCUAACACAGUCCGGGAAUGACGGUACCUGAAGAAUAAGCACCGGCUAACUACGUGCCAGCCGCCGCUGUAA
RNAcentral lists this ribosomal RNA (501 nucleotides) under uncultured bacterium. RNAcentral's name for it is "partial 16S ribosomal RNA". It matches the Rfam family "Bacterial small subunit ribosomal RNA", at positions 29 to 523 of the family's 1533-position model. The record is from RNAcentral.